UGAGGAAUAUUGGUCAAUGGGCGCAAGCCUGAACCAGCCAUCCCGCGUGCAGGAUGACGGCCCUAUGGGUUGUAAACUGCUUUUGUACAGGAAGAAAAAUCCCUACGAGUAGGGGCCUGCCGGUACUGUACGAAUAAGCAUCGGCUAACUCCGUGCCAGCAGCCGCGGUAAUACGGAGGAUGCAAGCGUUAUCCGGAUUCAUUGGGUUUAAAGGGUGCGUAGGCGGCUUUUUAAGUCAGUGGUGAAAUCCUACAGCUUAACUGUAGAACUGCCUUUGAUACUUUUAUUCUUGGGUUCGGGAGAGAGAGACGGAAUUCCAGGUGUAGUGGUGAAAUACGUAGAUAUCUGGAAGAACACCAGUUGCGAAGGCGGUCUCUUGGUCCGACACUGACGCUGAGGCGCGAAAGCGUGGGGAGCAAACA
This 422-nucleotide ribosomal RNA is filed under the name uncultured bacterium. RNAcentral describes it as "bacterial SSU rRNA". It matches the Rfam family "Bacterial small subunit ribosomal RNA", at positions 355 to 774 of the family's 1533-position model. The record is from RNAcentral.